AACGCUGGCGGCGUGCUUAACACAUGCAAGUCGAACGGAAAGGCCCUGCUUUUGUGGGGUGCUCGAGUGGCGAACGGGUGAGUAACACGUGAGUAACCUGCCCUUGACUUUGGGAUAACUUCGGGAAACUGGGGCUAAUACCGGAUAGGAGCUCCUGCUGCAUGGUGGGGGUUGGAAAGUUUCGGCGGUUGGGGAUGGACUCGCGGCUUAUCAGCUUGUUGGUGGGGUAGUGGCUUACCAAGGCUUUGACGGGUAGCCGGCCUGAGAGGGUGACCGGCCACAUUGGGACUGAGAUACGGCCCAGACUCCUACGGGAGGCAGCAGUGGGGAAUAUUGCACAAUGGGCGGAAGCCUGAUGCAGCAACGCCGCGUGCGGGAUGACGGCCUUCGGGUUGUAAACCGCUUUCGCCUGUGACGAAGCGUGAGUGACGGUAAUGGGUAAAGAAGCACCGGCUAACUACGUGCCAGCAGCCGCGGUGAUACGUAGGGUGCGAGCGUUGUCCGGAUUUAUUGGGCGUAAAGGGCUCGUAGGUGGUUGAUCGCGUCGGAAGUGUAAUCUUGGGGCUUAACCCUGAGCGUGCUUUCGAUACGGGUUGACUUGAGGAAGGUAGGGGAGAAUGGAAUUCCUGGUGGAGCGGUGGAAUGCGCAGAUAUCAGGAGGAACACCAGUGGCGAAGGCGGUUCUCUGGGCCUUUCCUGACGCUGAGGAGCGAAAGCGUGGGGAGCGAACAGGCUUAGAUACCCUGGUAGUCCACGCUGUAAACGGUGGGUACUAGGUGUGGGGUCCAUUCCACGGGUUCCGUGCCGUAGCUAACGCUUUAAGUACCCCGCCUGGGGAGUACGGCCGCAAGGCUAAAACUCAAAGGAAUUGACGGGGCCCCGCACAAGCGGCGGAGCAUGCGGAUUAAUUCGAUGCAACGCGUAGAACCUUACCUGGGUUUGACAUGGAUCGGGAGUGCUCAGAGAUGGGUGUGCCUCUUUUGGGGUCGGUUCACAGGUGGUGCAUGGCUGUCGUCAGCUCGUGUCGUGAGAUGUUGGGUUAAGUCCCGCAACGAGCGCAACCCUUGUUCACUGUUGCCAGCACGUUAUGGUGGGGACUCAGUGGAGACCGCCGGGGUCAACUCGGAGGAAGGUGGGGAUGACGUCAAGUCAUCAUGCCCCUUAUGUCCAGGGCUUCACGCAUGCUACAAUGGCUGGUACAGAGAGUGGCGAGCCUGUGAGGGUGAGCGAAUCUCGGAAAGCCGGUCUCAGUUCGGAUUGGGGUCUGCAACUCGACCUCAUGAAGUCGGAGUCGCUAGUAAUCGCAGAUCAGCAACGCUGCGGUGAAUACGUUCCCGGGGCUUGUACACACCGCCCGUCAAGUCAUGAAAGUUGGUAACACCCGAAGCCGGUGGCCUAACCGAUGUGGGGGAGCCGUCGAAGGUGGGACUGGUGAUUAG
This 1439-nucleotide ribosomal RNA is filed under the name uncultured organism. Its description in RNAcentral is "partial small subunit ribosomal RNA". It matches the Rfam family "Bacterial small subunit ribosomal RNA". The record is from RNAcentral.